UAACACAUGCAAGUCGAGCGGAAACGAGUUAUCUGAACCUUCGGGGAACGAUAACGGCGUCGAGCGGCGGACGGGUGAGUAAUGCCUAGGAAAUUGCCCUGAUGUGGGGGAUAACCAUUGGAAACGAUGGCUAAUACCGCAUAAUGCCUACGGGCCAAAGAGGGGGACCUUCGGGCCUCUCGCGUCAGGAUAUGCCUAGGUGGGAUUAGCUAGUUGGUGAGGUAAUGGCUCACCAAGGCGACGAUCCCUAGCUGGUCUGAGAGGAUGAUCAGCCACACUGGAACUGAGACACGGUCCAGACUCCUACGGGAGGCAGCAGUGGGGAAUAUUGCACAAUGGGCGCAAGCCUGAUGCAGCCAUGCCGCGUGUGUGAAGAAGGCCUUCGGGUUGUAAAGCACUUUCAGUCGUGAGGAAGGUAGUGUAGUUAAUAGCUGCAUUAUUUGACGUUAGCGACAGAAGAAGCACCGGCUAACUCCGUGCCAGCAGCCGCGGUAAUACGGAGGGUGCGAGCGUUAAUCGGAAUUACUGGGCGUAAAGCGCAUGCAGGUGGUUUGUUAAGUCAGAUGUGAAAGCCCGGGGCUCAACCUCGGAAUAGCAUUUGAAACUGGCAGACUAGAGUACUGUAGAGGGGGGUAGAAUUUCAGGUGUAGCGGUGAAAUGCGUAGAGAUCUGAAGGAAUACCGGUGGCGAAGGCGGCCCCCUGGACAGAUACUGACACUCAGAUGCGAAAGCGUGGGGAGCAAACAGGAUUAGAUACCCUGGUAGUCCACGCCGUAAACGAUGUCUACUUGGAGGUUGUGGCCUUGAGCCGUGGCUUUCGGAGCUAACGCGUUAAGUAGACCGCCUGGGGAGUACGGUCGCAAGAUUAAAACUCAAAUGAAUUGACGGGGGCCCGCACAAGCGGUGGAGCAUGUGGUUUAAUUCGAUGCAACGCGAAGAACCUUACCUACUCUUGACAUCCAGAGAACUUUCCAGAGAUGGAUUGGUGCCUUCGGGAACUCUGAGACAGGUGCUGCAUGGCUGUCGUCAGCUCGUGUUGUGAAAUGUUGGGUUAAGUCCCGCAACGAGCGCAACCCUUAUCCUUGUUUGCCAGCGAGUAAUGUCGGGAACUCCAGGGAGACUGCCGGUGAUAAACCGGAGGAAGGUGGGGACGACGUCAAGUCAUCAUGGCCCUUACGAGUAGGGCUACACACGUGCUACAAUGGCGCAUACAGAGGGCAGCAAGCUAGCGAUAGUGAGCGAAUCCCAAAAAGUGCGUCGUAGUCCGGAUUGGAGUCUGCAACUCGACUCCAUGAAGUCGGAAUCGCUAGUAAUCGUGGAUCAGAAUGCCACGGUGAAUACGUUCCCGGGCCUUGUACACACCGCCCGUCACACCAUGGGAGUGGGCUGCAAAAGAAGUAGGUAGUUUA
This 1409-nucleotide ribosomal RNA is filed under the name Vibrio owensii. RNAcentral's name for it is "bacterial SSU rRNA". It matches the Rfam family "Bacterial small subunit ribosomal RNA". Lineage: Bacteria; Pseudomonadati; Pseudomonadota; Gammaproteobacteria; Vibrionales; Vibrionaceae. The record is from RNAcentral.